GACGAACGCUGGCGGCGUGCUUAACACAUGCAAGUCGAACGGAAAGGCCCUGCUUUUGUGGGGUGCUCGAGUGGCGAACGGGUGAGUAACACGUGAGUAACCUGCCCUUGACUUUGGGAUAACUUCAGGAAACUGGGGCUAAUACCAGAUAGGAGCUCCUGCUGCAUGGUGGGGGUUGGAAAGUUUCGGCGGUUGGGGAUGGACUCGCGGCUUAUCAGCUUGUUGGUGGGGUAGUGGCUUACCAAGGCUUUGACGGGUAGCUGGCCUGAGAGGGUGACCGGCCACAUUGGGACUGAGAUACGGCCCAGACUCCUACGGGAGGCAGCAGUGGGGAAUAUUGCACAAUGGGCGGAAGCCUGAUGCAGCAACGCCGCGUGCGGGAUGACGGCCUUCGGGUUGUAAACCGCUUUCGCCUGUGACGAAGCGUGAGUGACGGUAAUGGGUAAAGAAGCACCGGCUAACCACGUG
Molecule: ribosomal RNA, 468 nt
Filed under: uncultured bacterium
Lineage: Bacteria
Description: partial 16S ribosomal RNA
Rfam family: Bacterial small subunit ribosomal RNA
Source: RNAcentral